UGCCAGACUCCUACGGGAGGCAGCAGUGAGGAAUAUUGGUCAAUGGGCUUACGCCUGAACCAGCCAAGUCGCGUGAGGGAAGACUGCCCUAUGGGUUGUAAACCUCUUUUGUCAGGGAGCAAAGGGCGCCACGUGUGGCGCUUUGCGAGUACCUGAAGAAAAAGCAUCGGCUAACUCCGUGCCAGCAGCCGCGGUAAUACGGAGGAUGCGAGCGUUAUCCGGAUUUAUUGGGUUUAAAGGGUGCGCAGGCGGAAUGUCAAGUCAGCGGUAAAAUUUCGGGGCUCAACCUCGCUCCGCCGUUGAAACUGGCGUUCUUGAGUGGGCGAGAAGUAUGCGGAAUGCGUGGUGUAGCGGUGAAAUGCAUAGAUAUCACGCAGAACUCCGAUUGCGAAGGCAGCAUACCGGCGCCCAACUGACGCUGAAGCACGAAAGCGUGGGUAUCGAACAGGAUUAGAUACCCGCGUAU
RNAcentral lists this ribosomal RNA (466 nucleotides) under uncultured bacterium. RNAcentral describes it as "bacterial SSU rRNA". It matches the Rfam family "Bacterial small subunit ribosomal RNA", at positions 329 to 793 of the family's 1533-position model. The record is from RNAcentral.